UACAGAGGGGGCAAGCGUUAUUCGGAAUUAUUGGGCGUAAAGGGCGCGUAGGCGGCCUGGCAAGUGGAAGGUGAAAUCCCUCGGCUUAACCGAGGAACUGCCCUCCAAACUGCUUGGCUUGAGUCCGGGAGAGGUGAGUGGAAUUCCCAGUGUAGCGGUGAAAUGCGUAGAUAUUGGGAGGAACACCAGUGGCGAAGGCGAAUCUCUGGACAGUUACUGACACUGAGGCACGAAGGCCAGGGGAGCAAACGGG
Molecule: ribosomal RNA, 253 nt
Filed under: uncultured bacterium
Lineage: Bacteria
Description: partial 16S ribosomal RNA
Rfam family: Bacterial small subunit ribosomal RNA
Source: RNAcentral